UAGGGAAUCUUCGGCAAUGGGGGGAACCCUGACCGAGCAACGCCGCGUGAGUGAAGAAGGUUUUCGGAUCGUAAAGCUCUGUUGUUAAGGAAGAACGAGUGUGAGAAUGGAAAGUUCAUACUGUUACGGUACUUAACCAGAAAGGGACGGCUAACUACGUGCCAGCAGCCGCGGUAAUACGUAGGUCCCGAGUGUUGUCCGGAUUUAUUGGGCGUAAAGCGAGCGCAGGCGGUUAGAUAAGUCUGAAGUUAAAGGCAGUGGCUCAACCAUUGUAGGCUUUGGAAACUGUUUAACUAGAGUGCAGAAGGGGGGAGUGGAAUUCCAUGUGUAGCGGUGAAAUGCGUAGAUAUAUGGAGGAACACCGGUAGCGAAAGCGGCUCUCUGGUCUGUAACUAACGCUGAGGCUCGAAAGCGUGGGGAGCGAACAGG
This 429-nucleotide ribosomal RNA is filed under the name Bacteroidota bacterium. RNAcentral describes it as "Bacteroidetes bacterium partial 16S ribosomal RNA". It matches the Rfam family "Bacterial small subunit ribosomal RNA", at positions 355 to 776 of the family's 1533-position model. The record is from RNAcentral. Lineage: Bacteria; Pseudomonadati; Bacteroidota.